This 469-nucleotide ribosomal RNA is filed under the name uncultured bacterium. RNAcentral's name for it is "partial 16S ribosomal RNA". It matches the Rfam family "Bacterial small subunit ribosomal RNA", at positions 28 to 506 of the family's 1533-position model. The record is from RNAcentral.
GACGAACGCUGGCGGCGUGCUUAACACAUGCAAGUCGAACGCUGAAGCACCAGCUUGCUGGUGUGGAUGAGUGGCGAACGGGUGAGUAAUACGUGAGUAACCUGCCCUGUACUCUGGGAUAAGCCCGGGAAACUGGGUCUAAUACUGGAUGCUACAGGUCACCGCAUGGUGGUGUGUGGAAAGGGUUUACUGGUCUUGGAUGGGCUCACGGCCUAUCAGCUUGUUGGUGAGGUAAUGGCUCACCAAGGCGACGACGGGUAGCCGGCCUGAGAGGGUGACCGCCCCCCAGGGGGCGGAGAAAGGGCCCAGACUCCUCGGGGGGGCAGCGGGGGGGAAUUUUGCCCAAUGGGGGAAAGCCUUAUGCAGCGGGCCCGGGGGGGGGAAGACGGCCUUCGGGUUGUAAACCUCUUUCAGGAGGGAAGCAGCCACAAGUGCGUGACCCGGAAGAAGGAGCCGCGGUGAAUUCGGG